AGGAGAGUCCCUUUAUUGGCAAGAAGGGUUGAACUGUAAAUUCAAUAGCACUAUGCUUCUAAGAGUUCGAAUCUCUUUUCUCCUA
This is a transfer RNA of Verticillium albo-atrum, 85 nucleotides long. It matches the Rfam family "tRNA". Rfam says of the family: Transfer RNA (tRNA) molecules are approximately 80 nucleotides in length. The record is from Rfam. Lineage: Eukaryota; Fungi; Ascomycota; Sordariomycetes; Glomerellales; Plectosphaerellaceae.